GGACAGAGUGAGCGAUGAAUUUCUUUCAAGUUAUGUAGUAUUGAUCAAUACAGGGUACAACGGGGCUGAUCACCCUCCGUACCCAUAAGCUAGAGCGGUUUGCGGAUGAAUUUCUGCUAAACCUUUUCGAAAAUGAAAAGAAUGUUCAUAGUAUGAUUCUUAAACCCUAUUCAUGGGUAGAGCCAGAGCCAAAUUUAAAUAAUUUGGAAGAGAGUUGUUAUGUGAAUUUUUAUCAGUACAGAUUACUUCACAACUUUUGAUUCGUUGUAGAAGUGUUAUGUAAAGAGAAUACUUAUAUUCUUUCAGUCUAUAUAUAUAUUGCUAUUACUUGCUGGGCACUCAAAUGCUCAUCCUUGCUUAAACUAAAUGUUUUCAGUUACGUAUGAGCAACCUGAAGGUUCAGGCACGCAUAAAGGGAAAGAAGAGCUGUUCGAAUGUGAAUUAGUAUGAGUUAAUGGUUAUAGUUAGUAAGAAAAUGGAAUCUAUUGUCAGAUAUUGUAAGGAAUGUAUUUGAAGGUCACGUACCUGGGGAAGUAAACUUUGAUGUAUGUAAAUUAAGUUCGAAUGUAUUAUUAUUUAGUAUUAUUCAGCUUAAAGAAAUGGUAUCGUG
Molecule: long non-coding RNA, 610 nt
Filed under: Panax ginseng (ginseng)
Lineage: Eukaryota; Viridiplantae; Streptophyta; Magnoliopsida; Apiales; Araliaceae
Description: long non-coding RNA (PGIN_LNC010034)
Source: RNAcentral